CGAUACUUGGUGUGAAUUGCAGAAUUCAGUGAAUCAUCGAAUCUUUGAACGCACAUUGCGCCCGCCAGUAUUCUGGCGGGCAUGCCUGUUCGAGCGUCAUUUCAACCCUCAAGCCCCUAGGGCCUGGUGUUGGGGAUCGGCGAUAGUCGCCGUCCCCCAAAUCUAGUGGCGGUCUCGCUGUAGCCUCCAUUGCGUAGUAGCUAACACCKCGCAACUGGAACGCGGCGCGGCCAAGCCGUUAAACCCCCCAAACUUCUGAAUGUUGACCUCGGAUCAGGUAGGAAUACCCGCUGAACUUAAGCAUAUCAAUAAGCGGAGGA
This 320-nucleotide ribosomal RNA is filed under the name Fusarium sp. BAB-3943. RNAcentral's name for it is "eukaryotic LSU rRNA". The stretch from base 1 to 99 matches the Rfam family "5.8S ribosomal RNA", at positions 56 to 154 of the family's 154-position model. The record is from RNAcentral. Lineage: Eukaryota; Fungi; Ascomycota; Sordariomycetes; Hypocreales; Nectriaceae.